Molecule: ribosomal RNA, 459 nt
Filed under: uncultured bacterium
Lineage: Bacteria
Description: partial 16S ribosomal RNA
Rfam family: Bacterial small subunit ribosomal RNA
Source: RNAcentral
CCUACGGGUGGCAGCAGUGAGGAAUAUUGGUCAAUGGGCGCGAGCCUGAACCAGCCAAGUCGCGUGAGGGAAGACGGCCCUAUGGGUUGUAAACCGCUUUUGCCCGGGGACAACAGACUCCACGCGUGGCGUUCCGAGAGUACCCGGCGAAUAAGCAUCGGCUAAUUCCGUGCCAGCAGCCGCGGUAAUACGGAGGAUGCGAGCGUUAUCCGGAUUUAUUGGGUUUAAAGGGUGCGUAGGCGGAAGAUCAAGUCAGCGGUAAAAUUGCGCGGCUCAACCUCUUCGAGCCGUUGAAACUGGUCUUCUUGAGUGAGUGAGAAGUAUGCGGAAUGCGUGGUGUAGCGGUGAAAUGCAUAGAUAUCACGCAGAACUCCGAUUGCGAAGGCAGCAUACCGGCGUUCAACUGACGCUGAUGCACGAAAGUGUGGGUAUCGAACAGGAUUAGAUACCCGAGUAGUC